GGAAGGAUCAUUGAAUCUAUCACAAUCCACAACCGUGAAAUAUUUUGUUGGCCUCCAUCCGUGCACUUGUGCGGGGAUGGGCCGGCUUUGCUCUGAUUUAAUUCGGGGUGAAGGCGGGGCCUGCGCUUGUCUACUUCCUUCGGGAACGGGCAGGUGUGGGUCGGUCUUUAUUAACCAACCAACACCAAACCAAAAUUCUAAAUAUAACGAGUGCGUGGCUUAGAGCCAACACUCACUAACCAAGACAACUCUCAACAACGGAUAUCUUGGCUCUCGUAACGAUGAAGAACGCAGCGAAAUGCGAUACGUAAUGUGAAUUGCAGAAAUACGUGAACCAUCGAAUCUUUGAACGCAUAUUGCGCUCGCGGCCUCGGCCAAGAGCAUGUCUGCCUCAGCGUCGGGUUAAAACUCGCCCUACUCAAUUCAUUGGGUAUGGUGCGGAUCUGGCUUUCCCGGUUAUUCAAUUAACCGGGUUAGCUGAAGAGCAGAGGUUGAUGCAUGGACCCGCUAAGGGCCUCGACUGGGUAGGCAAUUCGUUGCUGAUGCUUUAGUCGGUGGUCUGGAUCUGUGCUUGUCGACCCAAACCAGGAACUUGGCUUCUGCCAAGAAAACCCCUUUAUCCUCGACCUGAGCUCAGGCAAGAACACCCGCUGAACUUAAGCAUAUCAAUAAGCGGAGGAAAAGAAACUAACAAGGAUUCCCCUAGUAACGGCGAGCGAACCGGGAAUAGCCCAACUUGAAAAUCUCCCUUUGGAGAAUUGUAGUCUAUCGAAGCGCCCUCAGCAGGAGGCAGAGCUCAAGUCGGAUCGAAUGCCGCGUCAGAGAGGGUGAUAACCCCGUCGGCUCUUGCUCUUAUCUGCAACACGAGGUGCUUUCCACGAGUCGGGUUGUUUGGGAAUGCAGCCCUAAUUUGGAGGUAAAUCCCUUCUAAGGCUAAAUACUGACGAGAGACCGAUAGCGAACAAGUACCGUGAGGGAAAGAUGAAAAGAACUUUGAAAAGAGAGUUAAAAGUGCUUGAAAUUGUUGAGGGGGAAGCGUUUGGAGUUCGUAGGUGCGCCCAGGCUUAAGCAAUCCUAACGGAUUGUUGAAUGUGCUGGGUGCUGGUCAAUGUGGAUUGGCUUGGCGGGAUAACAGUUGGGUCUACCCAGGUAACCUAACCAAUGCCGCCGAGCCGAUCAAGGUGUGAAGGGUGCUCUGUCCUCCGGGAUCUGCAUCCUAAAGACAUUGGCAGAAGAGCUUCAACCGGCCCGUCUUGAAACACGGACCAAGGAGUCUAACAUGUAUGCGAGUUGGCGGGUGGUAAACCCGUAAGCGCAAGUAACCUGACUGGUGGGAGGGCCUGUGCCUGCACCAUCGACCGACCAUGUUGCUUUUGCGAAAGGUUUGAGUGCGAGCAUACCUGUUGGGACCCGAAAGAUGGUGAACUAUGCCUGAGCAGGGUGAAGCCAGAGGAAACUCUGGUGGAGGCUCGUAGAUGUGCUGACGUGCAAAUCGCUUUUCAGACUUGGGUAUAGGGGCGAAAGACUAAUCGAACCAUCUAGUAGCUGGUUCCCUC
Molecule: unclassified non-coding RNA, 1556 nt
Filed under: uncultured fungus
Lineage: Eukaryota; Fungi
Description: sequence contains 18S rRNA gene, ITS1, 5.8S rRNA gene, ITS2, 28S rRNA gene
Rfam family: Eukaryotic large subunit ribosomal RNA (bases 624-1556)
Source: RNAcentral